Molecule: ribosomal RNA, 1958 nt
Filed under: marine metagenome
Description: bacterial LSU rRNA
Rfam family: Bacterial large subunit ribosomal RNA
Source: RNAcentral
UUAAGUGACUAAGCGUAUACGGUGGAUGCCUUGGCAGUCAGAGGCGAUGAAGGACGUAGUAACUUGCGAAAAGCGUUGGCGAGCUAGUAACAAGCAUUUGAGCUAACGAUGUCCGAAUGGGGAAACCCGGCCACAUAAGUGGUCAUCAUAACGUGAAUACAUAGCGUUAUGAGGCGAACCUGGGGAACUGAAACAUCUAAGUACCCAGAGGAAAAGAAAUCAACCGAGAUUCCCCUAGUAGCGGCGAGCGAACGGGGAUUAGCCCUUAAGUCUAUGGGGUGUUAGUGGAAUGUGUUGGAAAGCACAGCGGCACAGGGUGAUAGCCCCGUACACGAAAACUAACCAUAGAUGAAAACGAGUAAGGCGGGACACGUGACAUCCUGUUUGAAUAUGGGGGGACCAUCCUCCAAGGCUAAAUACUCCUGACUGACCGAUAGUGAACCAGUACCGUGAGGGAAAGGCGAAAAGAACCCCUGUGAGGGGAGUGAAAUAGAUCCUGAAACCGUGUACGUACAAGCAGUGGGAGCGGUUCUUGAGACCGUGACUGCGUACCUUUUGUAUAAUGGGUCAGCGACUUACUUUCAGUAGCAAGGUUAACCGUUUAGGGGAGCCGUAGGGAAACCGAGUCUUAAUAGGGCGAUCAGUUGCUGGGAGUAGACCCGAAACCCGGCGAUCUACCCAUGGGCAGGUUGAAGGUUGAGUAACAUCAACUGGAGGACCGAACACACGUAUGUUGAAAAAUGCGGUGAUGACUUGUGGGUCGGAGUGAAAGGCUAAUCAAGCCGGGAGAUAGCUGGUUCUCCCCGAAAUCUAUUUAGGUAGAGCCUCGCACGAACACCAUUGGGGGUAGAGCACUGUUAAGGCUAGGGGGUCAUCCCGACUUACCAACCCUUUGCAAACUCCGAAUACCAAUGAGUACUACUCGGGAGACAGACGGCGGGUGCUAACGUCCGUCGUCAAAAGGGAAACAACCCAGACCGUCAGCUAAGGUCCCAAAGUGUAUGUUAAGUGGGAAACGAUGUGGGAAGGCUUAGACAGCUAGGAUGUUGGCUUAGAAGCAGCCAUCAUUUAAAGAAAGCGUAAUAGCUCACUAGUCGAGUCGGCCUGCGCGGAAGAUUUAACGGGGCUAAACAUACCACCGAAGCUACGGGUUUGCAGUUUACUGCAAGCGGUAGAGGAGCGUUCUGUAAGCGGUUGAAGGUGAAGGGGUAACCCACACUGGACGUAUCAGAAGUGCGAAUGCUGACAUGAGUAACGAUAAAGGGAGUGAAAAACUCCCUCGCCGAAAGACCAAGGGUUCCUGUCCAACGUUAAUCGGGGCAGGGUGAGUCGACCCCUAAGGUGAGGCCGAAAGGCGUAAUCGAUGGAAAACAGAUUAAUAUUUCUGUACCUCUGCUAACUGCGAUGGAGAGACGGAGAAGGCUAGGCUAGCGCGGCGUUGGUAGUCCGCGUUUAAGGUAGUAGGCGGUGUUCUUAGGCAAAUCCGGGAACACAUUACGCUGAGAGCUGAUGACGAGUCACUAAGGUGAUGAAGUAGUUGAUGCCAUGCUUCCAGGAAAAUCUUCUAAGCUUCAGGUUAGUAGGGAUCGUACCCCAAACCGACACAGGUGGUCGGGUAGAGAAUACCAAGGCGCUUGAGAGAACUCGGCUGAAGGAACUAGGCAAAAUGGUACCGUAACUUCGGGAGAAGGUACGCUGCUGUUGGUGAUGGGACUUGCUCCCUAAGCUGACGGCAGUCGCAGAUACCAGGUGGCUGCAACUGUUUAUCAAAAACACAGCACUGUGCAAAAUCGCAAGAUGACGUAUACGGUGUGACGCCUGCCCGGUGCUUGAAGGUUAAUUGAUUGGGUUAUCGCAAGAGAAGCUCAUGAUCGAAGCCCAAGUAAACGGCGGCCGUAACUAUAACGGUCCUAAGGUAGCGAAAUUCCUUGUCGGGUAAGUUCCGACCUGCACGAAUG